Molecule: ribosomal RNA, 430 nt
Filed under: Clostridium sp. T80C4b
Lineage: Bacteria; Bacillati; Bacillota; Clostridia; Eubacteriales; Clostridiaceae
Description: bacterial SSU rRNA
Rfam family: Bacterial small subunit ribosomal RNA
Source: RNAcentral
AUGCAGUCGAGCGUGAACCCUUCGGGGUGAAUUAGCGGCGGACGGGUGAGUAACACGUGGGUAACCUGCCUUAUAGAGGGGGAUAGCCUUCCGAAAGGAAGAUUAAUACCGCAUGAAAUGUUUUUAUCGCAUGGUAGAAACAUCAAAGGAGUAAUCCGCUAUAAGAUGGACCCGCGGCGCAUUAGCUAGUUGGUGAGGUAACGGCCCACCAAGGCGACGAUGCGUAGCCGACCUGAGAGGGUGAUCGGCCACAUUGGAACUGAGACACGGUCCAGACUCCUACGGGAGGCAGCAGUGGGGAAUAUUGCGCAAUGGGGGAAACCCUGACGCAGCAACGCCGCGUGAAUGAAGAAGGCCUUAGGGUUGUAAAGUCUGUUUUCUGGGACGAUAAUGACGGUACCAGAGGAGGAGCACGGCUAACUACUGCAGA